GUCCAAGUGGCUCAGAGGAUAAGAACACUGACUGGAACUCUUGAGGUCAUAGGUUCGAGUCCUACCUUGCCCA
Molecule: transfer RNA, 73 nt
Filed under: Xyrichtys novacula (pearly razorfish)
Lineage: Eukaryota; Metazoa; Chordata; Actinopteri; Labriformes; Labridae
Description: tRNA.Ser
Source: RNAcentral